CGACAUCAGCUGUCAAACCACGACAGAGUGGAAAAGGAAAAUAAAUGGACUGAGAUUGCAGAAGUCCUGCAAAUGCCCGUUGCUGAGGUGAAAACAAGGGGUCUGUCUCUGAGGACACAAUUUAGCCGUCUCCUACGACCUCGACCGAGUGGAAGUGGGAAAAGCCCCUCACUUCCAAACAGCAAUGGAUCUUGAGAAGUUUGGAGUUUCUUAAACCGUUCGUCACCCCCCGCAACACUGAGACCAGCCUUGUUAUUGAAGACAGUGAGACAGAUACACAGGGGACAGUGGCUGAUGAGGAGGUGUCCUCUCCUCUUGAGUAUUCUACUCUGGACAAGGACAUCGCAGAGUCUGUGCUCAGGCCUUGUACACCAGGCUCAUCAAGGUCCUCAAGCCCACCACCAUUAGAGCCCAGAGUCCACCAGCCUUUAAACAAAAAGGCAAGACGCGUCAGUGACAUUGAGCUUGAGAAGCUUGAAUUGCUUAAAGAAAUGUCCCAAACUGUCAGAGGCUUCAACACAGAAAAGAAAUUAUAAAAUGGAAGAAGAGGCAAGCUUUGGACGACAGGUUGCAGUUGAGGUCAGUCACAUCAAAGACCCAACAUUAAAAACAAGAGCCAAAAAAAAAAUUAUGACCAUACUGUAUGAUUUUCAAGAAGCAGAUCAACAGCAACUGAGAGGCAGGGCACAAUACAGGCCACAGCCUAAUGAUCAACUUGACAUUUGGCCACAGGAAACACCAUCACAAUACUUAACCCAAGGUCUGCAACAUCGUCAAGUCCAGCCUCACAUUAAUCCUCAAACAUUACAACCACCACCACCAGCACACACACACAGUCUACCUCAGAGCCAACAAAGUUUCAUGCAACUGAAAUAUUUUAAUAUUUUACAUUGUUGAUAUUGUUAACAUUUUACAGUUGAAGUACUGUUUUGUAUUUCAUUUGUUCUGAUAUGUAAAUUACACAUGCUGUACGUGUUUAAAUAAAUAGUGCUGAUGUUCAGACACUUUCAUAUCUGAAACACAAUGUUUCAACUUUAGUACUGUUUUGCACUUUACCUCACAGCUCAUGUGACUCGCUGGUAUUUUCAAAUUUCUGUGAAUGCUUUUGUGAGAAAUGACAUUUUGCUGUGAAUGUCCUUUUUUUCCCUGUAUCGUUUUAAUGUCAAAGAUUGUAGCCUGAGUUUGCACAGUAUUGCUCCAAUGUGGAAGUGCUUUUUUGACCCAGAAUAAACAAAAAAGUAAUUUUCAAUAA
Molecule: long non-coding RNA, 1252 nt
Organism: Centropristis striata (black sea bass)
Lineage: Eukaryota; Metazoa; Chordata; Actinopteri; Perciformes; Serranidae
Exons: 3
Source: RefSeq, a predicted model, not a curated record